UACGUAGGGCGCAAGCGUUAUCCGGAAUUAUUGGGCGUAAAGAGCUCGUAGGCGGUUUGUCGCGUCUGCCGUGAAAGUCCGGGGCUCAACUCCGGAUCUGCGGUGGGUACGGGCAGACUAGAGGUAUGCAGGGGAGAACGGAAUUCCUGGUGUAGCGGUGAAAUGCGCAGAUAUCAGGAGGAACACCAAUGGCGAAGGCAGCUCGCUGGGACGGUACUGACGCUGAGGCGCGAAAGCGUGGGGAGCAAACAGG
Molecule: ribosomal RNA, 253 nt
Filed under: uncultured bacterium
Lineage: Bacteria
Description: partial 16S ribosomal RNA
Rfam family: Bacterial small subunit ribosomal RNA
Source: RNAcentral